UGGGGAAUAUUGGACAAUGGGCGAAAGCCUGACCAGCCAUGCCGCGUGUGUGAAGAAGGUCUUCGGAUUGUAAAGCACUUUAAGUUGGGAGGAAGGGCAGUAAGCGAAUACCUUGCUGUUUUGACGUUACCGACAGAAUAAGCACCGGCUAACUCUGUGCCAGCAGCCGCGGUAAUACAGAGGGUGCAAGCGUUAAUCGGAAUUACUGGGCGUAAAGCGCGCGUAGGUGGUUCGUUAAGUUGAAUGUGAAAGCCCCGGGCUCAACCUGGGAACUGCAUCCAAAACUGGCGAGCUAGAGUAGGGCAGAGGGUGGUGGAAUUUCCUGUGUAGCGGUGAAAUGCGUAGAUAUAGGAAGGAACACCAGUGGCGAAGGCGACCACCUGGGCUCAUACUGACACUGAGGUGCGAAAGCGUGGGGAGCAAACAGG
This 428-nucleotide ribosomal RNA is filed under the name Pseudomonadota bacterium. Its description in RNAcentral is "Proteobacteria bacterium partial 16S ribosomal RNA". It matches the Rfam family "Bacterial small subunit ribosomal RNA", at positions 355 to 776 of the family's 1533-position model. Lineage: Bacteria; Pseudomonadati; Pseudomonadota. The record is from RNAcentral.